GGGAAAAUAGCUCAAUGGUAGAGCAUCGGUUUCUUUUUCUUAACUCAAAGGUUGUGGGUUCGAUCCCCGGCUUCCCCA
Aphanomyces astaci is the source of this 78-nucleotide non-coding RNA. NCBI's taxonomy places the organism in Eukaryota, Oomycota, Saprolegniomycetes, Saprolegniales, Verrucalvaceae. The record is from Rfam.